This 88-nucleotide non-coding RNA is filed under the name Streptomyces sp. Its description in RNAcentral is "ZTP sequence". It matches the Rfam family "ZMP/ZTP riboswitch aptamer (pfl RNA motif)". From Rfam's summary of the family: Previously known as pfl RNA. ZMP is also known as AICAR. Lineage: Bacteria; Bacillati; Actinomycetota; Actinomycetes; Kitasatosporales; Streptomycetaceae. The record is from RNAcentral. RNAcentral also lists the same sequence under 1 other name.
GUGACGGGCCGUGACUGGCGCGCUGGGAUGGGACCGACCAUCGGGGAGCGGCCCGAGCGACUGAGUGCCGUGCGCCUGGGCCGUACCG